UCAAACUUGGUCAUUUAGAGGAAGUAAAAGUCGUAACAAGGUUUCCGUAGGUGAACCUGCGGAAGGAUCAUUAACGAAUUCGAAACAAAGCGCCCCGAGGCUGAUGCUGGCUCCUUGGAGCAAGUGCACGCCUCCGGGGUGCGCCUUCAAUUCGCUUACCCUCCCUUGUGCACUCCAUGUAGGUCGCCCCCCCCCUCGGCGCCUACGAUCUUCGUACACACCCCGAUCGCAUGUAUGUCGUGCAGCCUUUUUGUAACAACACAAAAAAAUACAACUUUCAACAACGGAUCUCUUGGCUCUCGCAUCGAUGAAGAACGCAGC
Molecule: unclassified non-coding RNA, 321 nt
Filed under: uncultured fungus
Lineage: Eukaryota; Fungi
Description: partial contains small subunit ribosomal RNA, internal transcribed spacer 1, and 5.8S ribosomal RNA
Rfam family: Eukaryotic small subunit ribosomal RNA (bases 1-73)
Source: RNAcentral